RNA transcript from Oncorhynchus kisutch (coho salmon), 16987 nucleotides. It is a transcript of the gene named ryanodine receptor 3-like, with no coding region annotated. The annotation marks the transcript as partial. The record is from RefSeq and is a predicted model, not a curated record. Lineage: Eukaryota; Metazoa; Chordata; Actinopteri; Salmoniformes; Salmonidae. The transcript has 110 exons.
UCGCGUUUCUGUCUAGCCUACUGCAUCUCCAGUCAGUGGUGGCUUUCAUAGUCUAAACAGGCUCCUACACAGCCAUGGCUGAGGGCGGAGAAGGAGAGGAUGACAUCCAGUUCCUGCGAACUGAUGAUGAGGUGGUGCUUCAAAGUGUCGCCACCAUCCAGAAAGAGAAUCGCAAGUUUUGUCUGUCCGUGGAGGGACUCGGUAAUCGACUAUGCUUCCUGGAACCUACAUCUGAGGCUAAGUAUGUUCCUCCUGACCUGUGUAUCUGCUGUUUCAUCCUGGAGCAGUCCCUGUCUGUCCGGGCCCUGCAGGAGAUGUUGGCUCACACGGUGCCUAACAACGAAGGGGCGGCCCAGGGGGGUGGACACCGGACCCUGCUCUAUGGUCACGCCAUCCUCCUACGUCACUCCUUCAGUGGAAUGUACCUGACCUGCUUGAAGACGUCGAGAUCGUUGACAGACAAACUGUCGUUUGACGUGGGAUUACAGGAACAUUCAAUAGGUGAGGCAUGUUGGUGGACCAUCCAUCCUGCGUCCAAGCAAAGGUCAGAGGGAGAGAAGGUCCGUAUCGGAGACGACCUAAUCCUUGUCAGCGUGUCCACAGAGAGGUACCUGCACCUGUCCAUCUCUAACGGUAGUUUCCAGGUGGACGCCUCCUUUAUGCAGACUCUGUGGAACGUCCAGCCUACCCGGUCAGGAAGCAACGUGGCUGUAGGAUUCCUGUGUGGUGGUCACGUGAUGCGUCUGUGUCACGGACAUGAUGAGAGUCUGACCAUACCUGGAUCAGAGGCCAGCGAGAUGGAGCAGAGGAUAGUGAACUAUGAAAUGGGAAAAGGAACGUCCAAGGCCCGCUCCCUCUGGAGGCUGGAGCCCCUCAGGAUUGGCUGGAGCGGCAGCCACAUUCGCUAUGGCCAGGCGUUCCGUCUGCGUCACCUGUCUACCGGUCACUACCUGGCGCUGACCGAAGAGCAGGGUCUGGUCCUACAGGAGAGAGAGAAGUCCGAUACCAAGUCCACCGCUUUCUGCUUCAGGGCUACCAAGGAAAAGAUUGAGUCUGGUACGAAGAACCGGGACAUUGAAGGCAUGGGAGUAGCAGAGAUCAAGUACGGAGACUCAGCCUGCUUCGUCAUGCACGUGGCUACAGGGCUGUGGUUGUCCUACCAGACGCCUGACGCUAAAGCCUCCCGUAUAGGACCCCUCAAGAGACGGGCCUGUCUGCAUGCUGAGGGUCACAUGGACGACGGUCUGACCCUUCAGCGUUGUCAACACGAGGAGGCACGGGCUGUACGCAUCAUCAGGAACACCACAGUCCUCUUCAGCCACUUCAUCAAGGGUCUGGACAGUAUAGGAAGGGAUAAGAACGUGGCGGUGUCUCUGCCUAACUUUGACGAGGUGUUGCAGACGCUGGAUGAUCUCAUUGAGUAUUUCAAACAGCCCGACUCAGAGCUGGAACAUGAGGAGAAACAGACUCUGCUGAGAUCUCUCAUCAAACGACAGGACCUCUUCAAAGAGGAGGGCAUGCUGACCCUGCUGGUGAUGUGCAUCGACCGGCUCAACCUGUACAACAGCGCUGCUCACUUCGGAGAGCAUGCUGGGGAAGAGGCUGGGGCGGCAUGGAAGAGCAUCCUCAACCUCCUCUACCAACUACUGGCCUCUCUGAUCAAAGGGAACAGAAACAACUGCACCCAGUUCUCCAGGAACCUGGACUGGCUGGUCAGCAAGCUGGAGAGACUGGAGUCCUCAUCAGGUAUCCUGGAGGUUCUCCACUGCAUCCUGAUAGAGUCUCCUGAAGCUCUGAACAUCAUCCAGAGAGGACACAUCAAGUCCAUCAUCUCCCUGCUCUAUAAACACGGACGCAACCACAAGAUCCUGGAUGUCCUGUGUUCUCUGUGUGUGUGUAAUGGGGUGGCUGUGAGAGCCAAUCAGAACCUCAUCUGUGAUCACCUGCUUCCCAAGAGAGACCUGCUCCUGCAGACACGAUUGGUCAAUGAUGUUCAGAGUAUGAGGCCCAACAUCUUCCUAGGAGUGGCGGAGGGUUCAGCCCAGUAUAAGAAGUGGUACUUUGAGCUGAUGAUCGACCAGGUGGACCACUAUGUGACCAGUGAGCCAUCUCACCUGCGUGUGGGAUGGGCCUCCACUAAGGGUUACGCCCCCUACCCGGGGGCUGGAGAGGGCUGGGGGGGCAAUGGGGUGGGGGAUGACCUCUACUCAUACAGCUUUGACGGACUCUACCUGUGGUCAGGCCGUAUCCCCCGGGCAGUGGCCUCCAUCAACCAGCACCUGUUGAACAACGAUGACGUGGUGAGCUGUUGUCUGGACCUGGGAGCUCCUUCCAUGUCCUUCAGGAUCAACGGCCAGCCAGUACAGGGCAUGUUUGAAGACUUCAACACUGACGGAUUCUUCUUCCCUGUGGUCAGCUUCUCAGCCGGGGUCAAGGUGCGUUUCCUGUUGGGUGGUCGUCAUGGUGACUUUAAGUUUCUGCCCCCGGCGGGUUACUCCCCGUGUUACGAGGCGCUGCUCCCCAAGGAGAAGAUGAGGGUGGAGGCUGUGAAGGAGUACAAGAGGGACCAUGGAGGGGUCAGGGACCUACUGGGGACAACACAGAUCCUCUCCCAGGCCUCAUUCAUCCCCACUCCUGUAGACACCAGCCAGAUUGUUCUGCCACCUCACCUGGACAACGUGCGGGACAGACUUGCAGAGAACAUCCAUGAACUGUGGGGCAUGAACAAGAUCGAACUGGGCUGGUCCUAUGGCAAGGUUCGAGAUGACAACAAGAGGCAGCACCCUUGCCUGGUGGAUUUCACCAAGCUGCCUGAAACAGAGAGCAACUAUAACCUGCAGAUGUCUAGUGAAACUCUCAAGACCCUGUUGGCACUGGGAUGUCAUGUGACACAGACUAACAUUAAUGCUGAGGAAGAUCUGAAGAAAGUCAAACUGCCCAAGGACUAUGUGAUGUCUAACGGGUACAAGCCAACGCCACUGCAGCUGUCUGAGGUGAAACUGACGGCUGGUCAGGAGGUCCUGGUUGAUAAACUGGCGGAGAACGCUCACAACGUGUGGGCCAAGGACAGGGUCAAACAAGGAUGGACCUACGGCAUCCAGCAGGAUGUGAAGAGCAGGCGUAACCCUCGCCUGGUGCCUUACGCUCUGCUAGACGAGAGAACCAAGAAGUCUAACAGAGACAGUCUGAGGGAGGCCAUCAGGACCCUGGUGGGAUACGGCUAUGACAUCGACCCCCCAGACCAAGAGUCCUGUCAUAUCGUGGAGAGGCAGAGCAUUGAGACGAUCCGGUUCUUCCGCGUAGAGCAGACGUAUGCAGUGAAGACAGGGAAGUGGUACUUUGAGUUUGAGGCCCUGACCGGAGGGGACAUGAGGGUUGGCUGGGCUAGACCAGGCUGUAGGUCAGACUUUGACCUGGGAAUGGACGACCAGGCCUACGUCUUCGAUGGAUACAAGGGUCGUCGUAUGCACAUGGGUGCGCGUUUCUUCGGGCAGUCAUGGAACAAAGGAGACGUGGUGGGCUGCAUGAUCAACAUGGAGGACAAGUCUAUGGUCUUCACCCUCAACGGAGAACUAAUCAUCACUAACAAGGGAUCCGAGCUCUGCUUCGUCGACUUCGAGACAGAGGAUGGCUUCAUCCCAGUGUGUUGUCUGGCCCAGUCUGAGAUUGGCCGUAUGAACCUGGGGAAGGACGCCAGCACCUUUAAGUACUACACCAUGUGUGGCCUGCAGGAGGGCUUUGAACCCUUCGCCGUCAACAUGAACAGAGAGGUCACCAUGUGGUUCAGCAAACGCCUGCCUACCUUCGUCAACAUCCCCAAGGACCACAGCCACAUCGAGGUGACACGGAUAGAUGGGACAGUGGACAACCCUCCGUGCCUGAAGGUGACCCACAAGACGUUUGGGACCCAGCAGAGCAACAGUGACAUGCUGUACUGCAGACUGAGCAUGCCUGUAGAGCUCCACGCUCCUCAUGUCAAUCCUGCCGAGUCUCAGAAACUCAGUCAGCCUCCAAAAGAAGAUGAUUAUGGCAGCAUUACAACAUACUAUCACUCAGUGAGAGUGUUUGCUGGCCAGGACCCGUCGUCAGUGUGGGUUGGCUGGGUAACCCCUGACUACCAUUACCAUAGCAAACACUUCAGCCUCAACAAGACACGCACGGUUACCGUAACCCUGGGAGACGAGAGGGGACGAGUCCACGAGAGGCAAGUUCCAGGUUUUUACCACAAGAGGCAGAUGAGUUGUGACGGCUGUUUGGAGUCCAACAGCAAGCUGUUCCCUGCUGUGUUUGUACGUCCCACCAGCACCAACCUCUUCCAGUUUGAGUUUGUCAAGAUCAAGGACGCCAUGCCCCUGUCGUCAGCCAUCUUUAAGAGUGAACAGCGUAACCCUGUGCCCCAAUGUCCACCACGUCUGGACGUUCAGACCAUCGUAGCGGUGCUGUGGAGCCGUAUGCCCAACACCUUCCUCACCGUGGAGACCGCCAGGGUCUCAGAGAGACACGGCUGGGUGGUGCAGUGUCUGGAGCCACUGCAGAUGAUGGCUGUUCAUAUACCUGAGGAAAACAGGUGUCUGGACAUCCUGGAGCUAUCGGAGGUAGAGAGUCUGAGGAAGUUCCACUACCACACCCUGAAGCUCUACUGUGCCCUCUGCGCAUUGGGCAACACCCGCGUGGCACACGCCCUCUGCUCCCACCUCGACCAAUCGCAGCUGCUUUACACCAUCGACAACCAAUACCUGUCCGGCAUGCUGAGAGAGGGCUUCUAUAAUGUACUUAUGAGCAUCCACCUGGAGACAGCGAAAGAGGCUCGUCUGAUGAUGAACAACGAGUUUAUUAUCCCUGUGACUGAUGAGACGCGCUCCAUCAAGCUGUUCCCUGACGAGUCCAAGAGACACUCUCUACCCGGGGUAGACCUCAGCACCUCGCUGAAACCACGUCUCAACUUCUCCCCUCUCUCCUUCAUCACAACCAAGAAACAGCAGCACCUCUACAGCCCCCAGAUCCCCCUGGGCAUCCUGAAGGAGAAGGCCAUCAGUAUGCUGACUGAGGCGGUGCAGGGAGGAGGCAGUCACAUCAGAGACCCAGUAGGGGGCAGUGUGGAGUACCAGUUUGUCCCCAUCCUCAAGCUGAUUGGGACCCUGCUCAUCAUGGGGGUACUCACCAGCGAGGAGGUGAGGCUGAUCCUCCUUCUCAUCGAUCCCAACGUGUUCGGGGAUCCAGAAGAUGAGGAGGCGAAGGUGGAGGAGGUAGAGGCAGCAGCAGGAGGAGGAGAGAAGGAGGAAGUGAGCAGCAACGAGGUGAAGGCCGUGGAGGCUGGUGAGGAGGAGACCAAGGAGGUCAAAAUGUCUGUCAAGGGACUGCUGGAGAAGACACUGCCUGAGUCUGUCAAACGACAGAUGUGUGAGCUGCUGCACUACUUCUGUGACUGUGAGUUGAAGCAGCGUAUCGAGGCCAUCGUGUCCUUCUCAGACAGCUUCGUGUCCAAGCUGCAGUACAACCAGAAGUUCAGGUACAACGAGUUGAUGUUGGCCCUCAACAUGUCUGCUGCCGUCACCGCCAAGAAGACCAAGGAGUUCAGAUCCCCUCCUCAGGAGCAGAUCAACAUCCUGUUGAACUUUGCUGCUGGGGAGGACUGUCCCUGUCCUGAAGAGAUUCAGGAAGACCUCUACAGCUUCCAUGAUGAGCUGAGACUGCACUGUGGCAUCCCGGUGGAGGAGGAGGAGGAGGAGGAAGACACGUCUAUAAAGGGUCGUCUGCUGGCCAUGCUCUAUAAGAUCAAGGGACCGCCCAAGAAACUAGAGGAGGAACCUACAGAGCAGGAACAGACUGCUCCCACCAACCUGAAGGAGUUGAUCAGCCAGACCAUGGCUAGCUGGGCUCAGGAGUGUAGCAUCCAGGACCCAGAGCUGGUUCGUGUGAUGUUCAGCCUGCUGAGACGUCAGUACGACGGCAUCGGAGCGCUGCUCAGGGCCAUGAGGAAGAGUUACACCAUCUCUGCUGUGUCAGUACAGGACUGUGUCAACCUCCUGGCCUCUCUGGGCCAGAUCAGAUCACUGCUGUCUGUACGCAUGGGGAAAGAAGAGGAGAAACUCAUGAUCGACGGCCUGGGUGACAUCAUGAACAACAAGGUGUUCUACCAGCACCCCAACCUGAUGAGGUUCUGGGGAUGCAUGAGACUGUCAUGGAGGUGAUGGUUAACGUGCUGGGAGGAGACAAGUCACAGGAGAUAGCGUUUCCAAAGAUGGUUGCCAGUUGCUGUCGGUUCCUGUGUUACUUCUGUCGUAUCAGCCGACAGAACCAGAAGGCCAUGUUCGACCAUCUGAGUUAUCUACUGGAGAACAGCUCCGUCGGACUAGCCUCCCCAGCCAUGAGGGGUUCCACUCCCCUGGACGUAGCAGCGUCUUCAGUGAUGGACAACAACAGCCUGGCUCUCGCUCUGGAGGAGCCUGACCUUGAGAAGGUGGUGACCUACUUGGCAGGUUGUGGGCUGCAGAGCUGUGCCAUGCUGCUGGCUAAAGGAUAUCCUGACAUUGGCUGGAACCCCAUAGAAGGAGAGAGAUAUCUGUCUUUCCUCCGCUUCGCUGUCUUCAGCAACGGUGAGAGUGUGGAGGAGAACUCUAACACGGUGGUGAAGCUGCUGAUCAGGCGUCCCGAGUGUUUUGGUCCCGCUCUGAGGGGAGAGGGGGGCAACGGCCUGCUGGCGGCCAUGUUGGAAGCCAUUAAGAUAUCAGAGGACCCUGCUCUGGACCUGCCCUCUACAGCUGAAGGAGAACCUACUGGGUCUGGUGAGGAGGAAGAGGAAGAAGUGGUCCAUACCGGGAACGCCAUCAUGUCCUUCUACUCUGCACUCAUUGACCUGCUGGGACGCUGCGCUCCUGAGAUGCAUCUGAUCAACAAGGGUAAAGGCGAGGCCUUGCGUAUCCGUGCCAUCCUGCGCUCCCUGGUUCCUACUACAGACCUGGUUGGCAUCAUCAGUAUUCCACUCAAGAUGCCCAUCGUCAAUAAAGACGGUAGUGUGACAGAGCCAGACAUGUCGGCUAGUUUCUGUCCGGACCACAAGGCCCCAAUGGUGUUGUUCCUGGAUCGUGUGUACGGUGUGGAGGACCAGAGCUUCCUGCUACACCUGUUGGAGGUGGGCUUCCUGCCUGACCUCCGUGCCUCCGCGUCCCUGGACACGGAUGUGCUAAGCACCACAGAGACAGCUCUGGCCAUGAACAGGUACAUCGGUUCGGCCCUGCUUCCCCUGCUGACCAGGUGUGCUGGCCACUUCUCGGGCACGGAGCACUACGCGGCGCUCAUCGACUCUACCCUCCACACUAUCUAUCGGCUGUCCAAGGGCCGCUCCCUCACCAAGGCCCAGAGAGACUCUAUCGAGGAGUGUCUGCUUGCCAUCUGCAAACACCUGCGCCCUUCCAUGAUGCAACAGCUGCUGAGACGUCUGGUGUUCGAUGUUCCCCUGCUGACGGAGUACUGCAAGAUGCCCCUCAGGCUGUUGACUGAACACUAUGAGCAGAGCUGGAAGUACUACUGUCUUCCCUCGGGGCUAGGGAGCUCCGGCAUGGCCUCGGAGGAAGAACUGUUGCUCACCAAGAAACUCUUCUGGGGAAUAUUCGACUCCCUCUCAGCGAAGAAGUUUGACUCUGACCUGUUCAAGACUGGCAUGGCCUGUCUGAGUGCUACCGCUGGGGCGUUGCCACCUGACUAUGUGGAUGCCAGCCCUGGUGCCACCCUGGAGAAGCAGGCGUCUGUGGAUGCACACGGCAACUUCGACCCUAAACCCAUCAACACUGCCAAUAUCUCCCUUCCAGAGAAACUGGACUACAUCGCCAACAAGUUUGCAGAGCAUUCCCACAUCAAGUGGUCCUCGGAGAAGGUGACAGCGGGUUGGAAAAUGGGAGAGAGUGUGGAUGACAAGGCUAAAACUCACCCACUGCUGAAGCCGUAUAAAUCACUCAGUGAGAAGGAGAGGGAAACAUACCGCUGGCCCGUGAAGGAGUCUUUAAAGAGCAUGCUGGCAAUGGGUUGGAACAUGGAGAGGACCAAAGAGGGAGAGGCCAUGUUCAUCGAGAAACAAAGCAAGAUCUCCGAGUCCACUCAGGACAACGAUAACGAAUUCAUCCUGGAACCACCCUUGGACCUGAACAAUAUUACUCUAUCCAGAGAGUUGCAGGGGAUGGUGGAGGUUGUAGCAGAGAACUACCACAACAUCUGGGCCAAGAAGAAGAAGACUGAGCUGAACAGUAAAGGAGGAGGGAGCCACCCAUUGCUGGUGCCCUAUGACACCCUGACAGCCAAGGAGAAGUACAGAGACAGGGAGAAGGCCCAGGAUCUCUUUAAGUUCCUGCAGAUCAAUGGAUAUAUCAUCACCAGAGACCUGAAAGACAUGGAGCAGGACUCGUCGUCCAUGGAGAAGAGGUUUGCCUACACGUUCCUCAAGAGGAUUCUGAAGUAUGUGGACUCAGCUCAGGAGUUCAUUGCUCACCUGGAGGCCAUGGCCACCAGUGGAAAGACAGACAAAUCACCCCACGAUCAGGAAAUAAAAUUCUUUGCUAAGGUUCUGCUACCUCUCAUAGAUAUGUACUUUAAGAACCACAGCAUGUACUUCCUGUCCUCGCCCAGUAGGAACCUGAGCAGCAGUGGCUACGCCUCUAACAAAGAGAAGGAGAUGAUCACUAGCCUGUUCUGUAAGAUGGCAGCUCUUGUCAGACACAGGAUUUCCCUCUUUGGGAGCGACUCGGCUGUUAUGGUGAGCUGUCUACACAUCCUGGCUCAUUCCCUGGACACAAGGACAGUGAUGAAGUCAGGCUCAGAGAUGGUGAAGGCUGGGGUCAGGACGUUAUUUGAGAACGCAGCGGAGGACCUAGAGAAGACCCUGGAGAUGCUGAAGCUGGGGAAGUUCAGCCAGUCCAGGAGCCAGAUGAAGGGCUUGACCCAGAACAUCACCUAUGCCACCACCGCUCUGCUGCCCAUCCUCACAGCCCUGUUCGAACACGUCACCAUGCAUAACUUUGGAGUCUACCUGCUGGUGGAUGAUGUCCAGCUGUCGUGCUAUCGCAUCGUGACCUGUCUCUACUCACUAGGCACGGGAAAACACAUCUUCAUAGAGAGGCACCUACCAGCCCUAGGGGAGUGUCUGGCCACCCUGGUAGGAGCCAUGCCUGUAGCUUUCCUGGAGCCUGAUCUCAAUGCUCACAACCCCCUGUCUGUCUUCAACACCAAGACACCGCGAGAGAGGGCCAUCUUGAGUAUGCCUGACUCUGUGGAGGAGAUGUGUCCAGAGAUGCCUCGUCUGGAUCGCCUGCUGAAGGACAUCAACGACAUCUCAGAGUCCGGAGCUCGCUAUACAGAGAUGCCACAGGUGAUUGAGGUGAUCCUGCCCAUGUUGUGUAACUACCUGUCCUACUGGUGGGAGAGAGGAACAGAGAACUCUGCUCCACACACUGCCUGCUGCACCACCGUGUGCUCCAACCACCUCAGCAUCAUCCUGGGGAACAUUCUCAAGAUCCUCAACAACAACCUGGGCAUCGAUGACGCUCCCUGGAUGAAGAGGAUCGCAGUCUACUCUCAGCCAAUCAUCUGCAAGGCUGCUGCGGACCUACUGAGGAGUCACUUCCUGCCCACUCUAGAGAAACUCAGGAAGAAGACAGUGAAGGUGGUGGCAGAGGAGGAACUGCUGAAGGCUGACAUUAAAGGAGACACUCAGGAAGCUGAGCUUCUCGUCCUGGAUGAGUUUGCUGUCCUCUGUAGAGACCUGUAUGCCUUCUACCCAAUGCUCAUCCGCUAUGUGGACAACAACAGAUCCAGAUGGUUGAAGAGGCCUGAUGCUCAGUCCAACGAGCUCUUCACCAUGGUGGCUGAGAUCUUCAUCCUCUGGUGCAAAUCACACAACUUCAAAAGGGAAGAGCAGAACUUUGUGGUUCAGAAUGAAAUCAACAACCUGUCUUUCCUGACUGGAGAAAGUAGAACCAAGAUGUCCAAGUCAGGUGGUGACCAGGAUAGGAAGCACAAGAAGCGGCGUGGAGAGUUAUACUCUGUCCAGACCUCUCUGAUCGUAGCCGCACUGAAGAAGAUGCUGCCCAUCGGACUCAACAUGUGCACCCCAGGAGACCAGGAGCUCAUCUCAUUGGCCAAGAUAAGAUACAGUCUGAAAGACACCGACGAUGAGGUGAAGGAUCACUUGCGUGAGAACCUUCAUCUUCAGGACAAGUCUGAUGACCUGGCAGUGCAGUGGCAGAUGAACCUGUAUAAGGAUGUGGUGGUGGAGAGUGAGGAACGUACAGACCCAGAACAAACUGUGGACAGAGUACAGAGCAUCUCUGCUGCAGUCUUCCACCUGGAGCAGGUGGAGCAGCCUCUGAGGUUGAAGAAGUGUGUGUUUCAGAAGCUACUGUCUAAACAGCGGAAACGCGCUGUGGUGGCCUGCUUCCGUAUGGCUCCUCUCUACAACCUCCCCAGGCAUCGUUCUAUUAACCUCUUCGUGUUGGGCUAUGUGAGACUAUGGAUAGAGACAGAGGAGUACUCCUUUGAGGAGAAGCUAGUGCAGGACCUGGCAAAAACCCCAAUGAAGAUCGUGGAGGAGGAGGAAGAGGAGGAGGUUGAGAUUAAGCCAGACCCUCUUCAUCAGCUUAUCCUUCACUUCAGCCACAACGCCCUGACAGAGAGAAGUUUCUUGGAAGAAGAUCCGCUGUAUAUUGCAUAUGCAGACAUGAUGGCAAAGAGUUGUGCAGAGGAUGAAGAGGAGGAAGAGGAGGAAGAGGGGAAAGAGAAGACAUUUGAGGAAAAGGAAAUGGAGAAGCAGAAGAUCUUGUACCAGCAGGCCAGACUCCACGCCCGCGGGGCUGCUGAGAUGGUGCUACAGAUGAUCAGCGCCAGUAAAGGUCGACUAGGUCCUAUGGUGACAUGUACCCUCAAACUGGGCAUCUCCAUCCUCAACGGAGGCAACGUGCUGGUCCAGCAGAAAAUGCUGGAUUACCUGAAAGAGAAAAGAGACGCAGGCUUUUUCAAGAGUCUGUCAGGCCUCAUGCAGUCCUGCAGUGUCCUGGACUUGAAUGCCUUUGAGAGACAGAACAAAGCGGAAGGUCUGGGGAUGGUGACAGAUGAAGGCUCCAUCGGCAGUGAGCGGGGUUCCAAAGUUCUGACGAAUGAUGACUUCACCAAAGAUCUCUUCCGGUUUUUGCAACUGCUCUGUGAGGGGCACAAUGGAGAUUUCCAAAACUUCCUGAGAACACAAACAGGAAACACGUUGACAGUCAACAUUAUCAUCAGCACAGUGGACUACCUGCUACGGCUUCAGGAAUCUAUCAGUGACUUCUACUGGUAUUAUUCUGGGAAAGACAUUAUCGACGAGGCAGGGCAGGUCAACUUCUCCAAAGCCUUAGCUGUCGCGAAGCAGAUCUUCAACUCGCUCACUGAGUACAUCCAGGGGCCAUGUAUUGGGAACCAGCAGAGUCUGGCCCACAGCAGACUGUGGGAUGCAGUGGUGGGAUUCCUGCAUGUGUUUGCCAACAUGCAGAUGAAGCUGUCCCAGGACUCGUGUCAGAUUGAGCUGCUCAAGGAGUUGAUGGAUCUUCAGCAGGACAUGGUGGUGAUGAUGCUUUCACUGCUCGAGGGCAACGUGGUGAAUGGAACGAUUGGAAAGCAGAUGGUGGACACUCUGGUGGAGUCCUCCAGCAACGUCGAGAUGAUCCUCAAGUUCUUCGACAUGUUCCUCAAGAUCAAGGACCUGACCACCUCUGACAACUUCAGGGAGUACGACCCCGAGAACAAGGGGGUCAUCUCCAAAAAAGAUUUCCAGAAGUCCAUGGAGAACCAGAAGCAGUACACCCAGUCGGAGAUUGAGUUCCUCCUCUCCUGCACCGAGGCCGACGAAAACGACAUGUUCAACUACGAGGAGUUUGUGGAGCGGUUCCACGAGCCGGCCAAAGACAUCGGCUUCAACGUAGCCGUGCUGCUCACCAACCUCUCUGAGCACAUGCCUCACGACCCCCGUCUGGCCACCUUCCUGGAACCAGCUGAGAGCGUGCUGAACUACUUUGAGCCGUACCUGGGCCGCAUCGAGAUCAUGGGUGGAGGGAAGCGCAUCGAGAGGGUCUACUUUGAGAUCAGCGAGUCCAGUCGUACACAAUGGGAGAAGCCACAGGUCAAAGAGUCCAAGAGACAGUUCAUCUUUGAUGUGGUCAACGAGGGGGGAGAAAGCGAGAAGAUGGAGAUGUUUGUGAACUUCUGCGAAGAUACAAUCUUUGAGAUGCAGCUGGCAUCUCAGAUCUCGGAGCCCGACGUGGUGGAGCGCCAGGAAGAGGAAGAGGAGGAGGUGCACAACUUGUUAGAAGAGCUUGCAGAGGAAGAGGAGAAUAGCGAGCUGGAGGCUUCCUCGGCUUUCACCAUGGCCUGCAUCUCCGCCAAGAAGAAGAUCUCCAACUUCAGACAGAUGCUGACCUUCAAGAUCCUCAAGAAGCAGUUCAAGAAGACCAAGAAGCUGAGCUUGAAGGAGAUGACCGUUGGGUUCUUCUCCUUCUUCUGGACGCUCUUCACAGGGUUCUUCAAGGGGAUCUACAGCCUCAUCUUCGGAUUCUUCCACCUCAUCUGGUCGUCCAUGUUCGGAGGCGGGCUCGUCGAAGGAGCCAAGAACAUGAAGGUGACAGACAUCUUGGGUAACAUGCCCGACCCCACCCAGUUUGGUAUCCACGGCGAUGUGUUGGAGAUGGAGAAGGCCGAGGUUGGUGAUUCUGUGUCGGGCGGGACAGACCAGGCCAUCAAACCGUCAGACAAGGCAGAGCAGGACAUCUUGAUGCAGAUGAUUAAUCCCACGCCAAAGAAAGGGGAAGGGUUAAAACACGUUGAUCCUGGACUGGGAGACGUCUCUGAGACUCCUGAGCCCACCGCCACUGUGGAGAAGAAGAAGGCUGUUAAAGAAACUAAAGAGUCGGAACCAGAGAAAGCAGACACAGAGAAGAAGGAGAAGGAAGACAAGGCCAAGGAGGAGGAGCCUAAAGAGGAAGUGGCUCAGGAGAAGCCCGCCCCCAAGUCCAGAAACGGCCAAUCAAAGGAUGCUCCUACUUCCUUCUUUGCCAGCUUCUUUGCUGGGCUGGAGAUCUACCAGGCCAAGAUGCUGAACACGUUGGCUCGGAACUUCUACAACAUGCGUUUCCUGGCUCUGUUUGUGGCGUUUGCCAUCAACUUCAUUCUACUGUUCUACAGGGUGACUGCUGAUGAGGAUGACUCCUGGACUAGUUCUGAUGAUGAUGAUGAUGAAGGUGGUGAGGAGUACUUUGUCCUGGAGGAGAGUACAGGCUACAUGGCUCCUACACUGUGUUUCCUUGCUGUGUUCCACACUGCCCUCUCUGUCCUCUGUUUGAUUGGCUACUACUUUCUCAAGGUGCCUCUGGUGGUGUUUAAGCGAGAGAAAGGGAUCGCCAGGCUCUUGGAGUUUGAAGGUCUCUACAUCACGGAGCAGCCGGCAGACGAUGACAUCACAGGACAGUGGGACCGCCUCGUCAUCAACACACCGUCCUUCCCCAAUAAUUACUGGGACAAGUUUAUCAAACGAAAGGUCAUUAAUAAGUACGGAGACCUGUACGGAGCUGAGCGGAUAGCUGAGCUGUUGGGUCUGGAUAAGAGCGCCCUGGACUUCGACCCUACUCAGGAGACCGUGGUGGAGGCGGCUUCUCUUGUAUCCUGGUUGAGCUCUAUCGACACCAAGUACCACAUCUGGAAAAUGGGAGUGGUGCUGACUGACAACUCGUUCCUGUACCUGAUCUGGUACGCCACCAUGUCCAUCCUGGGGCACUAUAACAACUUCUUCUUCGCUGCCCAUCUGCUGGACAUCGCCAUGGGCUUCAAGACCCUCCGGACCAUUCUGUCUUCCGUCACUCACAACGGAAAACAGUUGGUGCUGACCGUAGGUCUGUUGGCGGUGGUGGUGUAUCUGUACACUGUGGUGGCCUUCAACUUCUUCAGGAAGUUCUACAACAAGAGCGAGGAUGAGGACGCACCUGAUAUGAAGUGUGACGACAUGAUGACUUGCUAUCUGUUCCACCUGUACGCGGGGGUGAGGGCCGGCGGUGGUAUCGGUGAUGAGCUCGAGGAUCCGGCCGGAGACCCCUACGAGCUGUGGCGUAUCCUCUUCGACAUCACCUUCUUCUUCUUCGUCAUCGUCAUCCUCCUGGCCAUCAUCCAGGGUUUGAUUAUUGAUGCGUUUGGGGAACUGAGAGACCAGCAGGAGCAGGUGAAGGAGGAUAUGGAGACGAAAUGCUUCAUCUGUGGAAUUGGAAACGACUACUUUGACACGACACCCCACGGCUUUGAGACCCACACCUUACAAGAGCACAACCUGGCCAACUACCUCUUCUUCCUGAUGUACCUCAUCAACAAGGACGAGACUGAACACACGGGUCAGGAGUCAUAUGUGUGGAAGAUGUACCAGGAGAGAUGCUGGGACUUCUUCCCUGCUGGGGACUGUUUCAGGAAGCAGUAUGAGGACCUGCUUGGGUAGAGAGGACACCUAACACUACAUUACCCAGCUACCCUACAACCCUACCUGGGUAGACAGGACACCUAACACUACAUUACCCAGCUACCCUACAACCCUACCUGGGUAGACAGGACACCUAACACUACAUUACCCAGCUACCCUACAACCCUACCUGGGUAAACAGGACACCUAACACUAUUUUACCCAGCUACCAUAAAACAACACUAUCUGUAUUUGAGAGACCCGUCUACCUACUCACAACCCUACACCUUAUCUGAGACAGACUUCUUACUCACGUCAAUGAACUUUAAUGGAUAGACAACACUAUCUGUGUAGAGAGGACACCAGGACAUGACCCAGCUACCCUACAACACCAUCUGUGUAGAGAGGUCACCAGGACAUGACACAGCUACCCUACAACACCAUCUGGGUAGAGAGGACACUACCCUACAACACCAUCUGUGUAGAGAGGACACCAGGACAUGACCCAGCUACCCUACAACACCAUCUGUGUAGAGAGGACACCAGGACAUGACCCAGCUACCCUACAACACCAUCUGUGUAGAGAGGACACCAGGACAUGACCCAGCUACCCUACAACACCAUCUGGGUAGAGAGGACACUACCCUACAACACCAUAUGUGUAGAGAGGACACCAGGACAUGACCCAGCUACCCUGCAACACCAUCUGUGUAGAGAGGACACCAGGACAUGACCAAGCUACCCUACAACACCAUCUGGGUAGAGAGGACACUACCCUACAACACCAUCUGGGUAGAGAGGACACCAGGACACGACCCAGCUACCCUACAACACUAUCUGGGUAGAGAGGACACCAGGACACUACCCAGCUACCCUACAACACCAUCUGGGUAGAGAGGACACUACCCAGCUACCCUACAACACCAUCUGGGUAGAAAGGGACACCACCCAGCUACCCUACAACACCAACUGGGUAGUGAGGACACCAGGACACUACCCAGCUACCCUACAACACCAUCUGGGUAGAGAGGACACCACCCAGCUACCCUACAACACCAACUGGGUAGAGAGGACACCAGGACACUACCCAGCUACCCUACAACACCAUCUGGGUAGAGAGAACACUACCCAGCUACCCUACAACACCAACUGGGUAGAGAAGACACUACCCAGCUACCCUACAACACCAACUGGGUAGAGAGGACACCAGGACAUUACCCUACAACCCCAUCUGUGUAGAGAGAACACCAGGACACUACCCAGCUACCCUACAACACCAACUGGGUAGAGAGGACACCAGGACACUACCCAGCUACCCUACAACACCAUCUGGGUAGAGAGAACACUACCCAGCUACCCUACAACACCAACUGGGUAGAGAAGACACUACCCAGCUACCCUACAACACCAACUGGGUAGAGGGGACACUCUGUAUCUGAGAGACUAACUCACUUGAACCUUAAUGGAACCUGAAAACUAGCUCCACGUUGCUCUUCUGUUGCCAUUGUAUCCAUCAUACAGUUUCACCUAUUGAAAUGGCCAGCCACUACUGAGGAGAGACUGAUGUGAUGAAGACGAUGACUGACGAUGAUUGGACUUGGUGUUUUGGAUUUUUAUAUGGAAAGUCAAGUCCUUUUGCCUGUCACUAAAAGAUAAGUCACCCGCCACGGUGACACCUCAAAAUAAAAAUAUAUAUAUAUUUUGAUGUGAUUUGUCAUGAUGACACGUUGCCCUUUUCACUUCGCUUAACACCAAAACCGUUGCACAAUCCGUCAUGUGGCAGAGUGGAGACAUUGAUGUGUAGGGUUUCAGUUUGAUGGGUGAUGGAAUGUACAAGUAAUGCACAAGCCAUGAUAUUAAUACCGAAGACCGUAAUAACCCAGAUAUGAACUGAUUACCAAAAUAAGAUUGCUAUGCUAGAAUGUGUAUUGUGGUGGUGAUAAUGAUGAAACUAGAAAUUAAAUUCAUUGAAUUAGAACUGUUCUAGCUUGGUCUGAAUAUGAUUUGCUUGGAGAGAUGAGGAAUUUAAAAAAUGCGUCCCUCAAGGGUCAGUCUUGAGCCCAUUUAUAGUUGUUUAUCAAGUGCCGUUGUGCCUUAAUUUGAGAAACUAUGCACACACAAACAUGGUGUCCCUUGACGCCCUUUAGUGCUCUAGAUUUUGGAUUAGUUAAGAGCAUAAUUGCCUAGCUACAGUAGUGAUAGUUUUGUGGAUAUUCAGUUCAAAACAUUUACUUUGUUGUACAAAAACUAGGUAACCAUUGUGUAAAUGUUGCUCCAUUUGGAUUGGUUCCACAAGCUUCAGAGUCUCCUUGCCUGCCUGUACACCUUUCUUUCCACAGUAGAACUGAGAAAUGAGACACACUGAGGAAAUAACACGGUUCGAGAUUUAUUGAACAGGUAGCGACACAGAGAGAAACAGUUGAACCUCUAAUUGUAUGAACAUUUUGGAUGUAGUAGCUUUGAGAAACUGCGUUUCUUUCUGAGGAGGCAGGAAGGAUGGAUGGAGAAGAAUAAAGUAACCAAUGCAAUGAAAAA